UAGCUUGCUAAGACUGAUGGCGACGGCGCACGGGUGAGUAACACGUAUCCAACCUGCCGUCUACUCUUGGACAGCCUUCUGAAAGGAAGAUUAAUACAAGAUGGCAUCAUGAGUCCACAUGUUCACAUGAUUAAAGGUAUUCCGGUAGACGAUGGGGAUGCGUUCCAUUAGAUAGUAGGCGGGGUAACGGCCCACCUAGUCUUCGAUGGAUAGGGGUUCUGAGAGGAAGGUCCCCCACAUUGGAACUGAGACACGGUCCAAACUCCUACGGGAGGCAGCAGUGAGGAAUAUUGGUCAAUGGGCGAGAGCCUGAACCAGCCAAGUAGCGUGAAGGAUGACUGCCCUAUGGGUUGUAAACUUCUUUUAUAAAGGAAUAAAGUCGGGUAUGCAUACCCGUUUGCAUGUACUUUAUGAAUAAGGAUCGGCUAACUCCGUGCCAGCAGCCGCGGUAAUACGGAGGAUCCGAGCGUUAUCCGGAUUUAUUGGGUUUAAAGGGAGCGUAGAUGGAUGUUUAAGUCAGUUGUGAAAGUUUGCGGCUCAACCGUAAAAUUGCAGUUGAUCCUGGAUAUCUUGAGUGCAGUUGAGG
RNAcentral lists this ribosomal RNA (586 nucleotides) under uncultured Bacteroidales bacterium. Its description in RNAcentral is "bacterial SSU rRNA". It matches the Rfam family "Bacterial small subunit ribosomal RNA", at positions 73 to 657 of the family's 1533-position model. Lineage: Bacteria; Pseudomonadati; Bacteroidota; Bacteroidia; Bacteroidales. The record is from RNAcentral.